RNAcentral lists this long non-coding RNA (508 nucleotides) under Marmota monax (woodchuck). The record is from RNAcentral. Lineage: Eukaryota; Metazoa; Chordata; Mammalia; Rodentia; Sciuridae.
UAGCCAUGACUUACUUCACAAUAAUUUUGUUAUUUCUAUCAUCCGCUGAAUCCUCAGUUCUUAUUAAUAUUGAAGUCAGAUGAUGUUACUCCUCUCUUAAAGUCAUCCAAUGGAUCUCUAUUAACUCUCUGACUUUAUGCCCUACUCAUUUUUGUUUCUCUUUCUCUGCUUGAGCACAGUAACCUUUCUAUGGGUACUCAAACCUGCCAGGCUAUUUAUUCCUUUUUUUAUUAUUAGUUGUUCAAAACAUUACAUAGCUCUUGACAUAUCAUAUUUCAUACAUUUGAUUCAAGUGGGUUAUGAACUCCCAUUUUUCCCCCAUACACAGAUUGCAGAAUCACAUCGGUUAUACAUCCACUUUUUUACAUACUGCCAUAGUAGUGUAUGUUGUAUUCUGCUGCCCUUCCUAUCCUCUACUAUCCCCCCCUCCCCUUCCCUCCCCUCCCAUCUUCUCACUCUACCCCAUCUACUGUAGUUCAUUUCUCUCCCUUGUUUUUUUCCCUUUCCC